RNAcentral lists this ribosomal RNA (275 nucleotides) under uncultured bacterium. RNAcentral describes it as "partial 16S ribosomal RNA". It matches the Rfam family "Bacterial small subunit ribosomal RNA", at positions 399 to 691 of the family's 1533-position model. The record is from RNAcentral.
GCGUGAGUGAUGAAGGCCUUCGGGUUGUAAAGCUCUUUCACCGAUGACGAUAAUGACGGUAGUCGGAGAAGAAGCCCCGGCUAACUCCGUGCCAGCAGCCGCGGUAAUACGGAGGGGGCUAGCGUUGUUCGGAAUCACUGGGCGUAAAGCGUACGUAGGCGGGUACCCAAGUUGGAGGUGAAAGCCCGGAGCUUAACUCCGGAACUGCCUUCAAAACUGGGUAUCUAGAGGAUGGUAGAGGUGAGUGGAAUUCCGAGUGUAGAGGUGAAAUUCGU